Molecule: long non-coding RNA, 3752 nt
Organism: Cynoglossus semilaevis (tongue sole)
Lineage: Eukaryota; Metazoa; Chordata; Actinopteri; Pleuronectiformes; Cynoglossidae
Exons: 5
Source: RefSeq, a predicted model, not a curated record
AUAUAUAUAUAAUAAAAAUAAAUAUACAGUAGCCAACGUAUCAAGGAAGAAUAACAUAGCAAAAAAAACCUUUAUGAACUCAUAAAAAGGUUAGACAAAGGUUAGCCAAAAAGGAAACCAAUUAUUUCUUGCCAGAAUAACUCUACCCCAAUCACACUGAAGAAGAAAGAAGUAUGGGCCACAUAAGAUCUUUCCAAGCGCCAAAAAUGGCCCCCAGGACACUGCUGUCUGCUGUGGGUGGAGUGAUUUUUGUGAACUUGUCAGCUUUCCAGUAACUCUCUUCCUUUCUCUGUUUCCACUGCUCAUCUUCUUCCCCUUCAUAUUUCUUUCACACAUUAUGAAUUUUACAGCAUGUGCUGCCAAAAACUGACUCACCUCCAGAUUAGACUGCUGCUGGAAAUGCUUUGCAGGAAGAUGCCACCAGCUUAGAGUCCACUGGAUCUGAGCCUGCUUUUCUAUAGUGCAGCAACCUAACAGUGAAGUCAUAUAUACUUUAUCACUCUAAUCGCAGUGUCUUUGUCACAACAGCUUCACCUCUAUAUGAUGUGAGGGGAGUCAUUUCCCACUCAUUACCCUUGUUUUAAAUUAAAUGCCAUUUCCUGUGUUUCACCAGAGAGGUUCCUGUGAUGACCGUCACAGGCGGCCGCCAAGGGCAACAGCAAAAAGAAAAACUAUUAUUUCUUAGGGGAAUGACACAGGGUCUUCUACUGCUGAGUAUCAAAGACUGUAGGAGAAGGUGAAGGGGACGCUAUUAUCUUCUGAGAUCCAUCGACUAGUCCUACCAUCCAUCCAUCUAAUAGUGAGGUUAAAAUUACGAGCGCAGCUGGAGAAAACAACCACCACCAGGACGCCGCUGCCGGAGGUCUUACCUUCAUGGACCGAAGCGCAUCUUCCAUGGAGAACCAGGGAGAACCACAGCACCGCGACCGUUAACUUCAUGCUCCUCAUGUUCUCUGGAUGUGAUCAGAUCAUUUCUUAUGCUCCCAGCAUCCUGCAGCAGGAGGAAUCACAUCAGCAGCCGAACGGGACCUCCGGACCGUAGAGGAGCAUAUCCAGUUUGUGCUGAAGGAUGAAGGAGCCGCUUAUGGAAGCUCCGUCCAAUGCGCAACGCCGCCUUCACACAAUGGAGCAGCUACAGCCCGGUGCCCCCCUCCACAAACCUCAUCCUGUCUCUCUACCCCACUCCCUCUCUCACUCUCUCUCUCUCUCUCUCUCUUUUUUUUUACGUGAAGAGCUGAUGGAUUCCGCUGCCUGGGGGAGGGAUGGGAUGGUGAGGGCUGGCCCGAUAGAGGAUGGAGGGACAAACAUACCGGAUCCUCCGAACUGUAAACAACUGUAAACAAACUGACGACUACUAAUUAAAUUAGCAGAGAAACAAGCGGUGGCUCGACUCGUAAACAACUCGGGGCAGCACGGCAGCGGAGAUGGACUCUCUCUCUCUCCUAAUUAAGUUUGAGCUGACAGCAGCUGGAGGAAGAACGGGAUGAAUGGUUCCGCGCCUACACACUGGCGCACAACCAUCCAGACACAAAGCCGUUGAACUUUGAUGCUUCGUUCACGUCGAAAACACUCCGGCUUUUUGGCUGUUCACAGGCAGAACCCGAAGUUAAUGGUCCGGCUGUUUUUAUUGGCUGUUUUCAUCACUUUGAUCAAUGCCUGUGUUGUGGCCAAGGUCUGACCAUGUAAACACACACAGACGCACACUGAUACAAGGACUUGUUGUCUAUUACUUGUGCCGGUGCAGAUCAGUACAGUAAGUAAUGCAAUGGCCUUACACCUGAAGGGUUGUGGGUUUGAUUCCAUACUGUAGUGGUCUAUUCGGGAUUUAUUUAGGAUUAAUUCAGGCAGGGCACCACUGAAGGACAAGGUGAGAAAUGCAUGGUACGCCACUGAUAUAUGUAUAUUCAUCAGAUGCAACUUGGCUGGUACCAUUUCUUUAGACGCUCAAAUUAUCAAUACAAGUGUGAUGCAUCAUCAAGUAGUAUCAGCUUCUAAAGACCUCAGACACACAGGAAGUCAUUUUAUAUAAAACCAAAUGUUCUUGUUUGUGUUUUCCUGAAUGGAGGUGGUUCAGACUGUUCUAAUUGUAGGACUCUUGCCUUACCCCCACAAGGUUCUAAAUUCAGAUCAACUAAGUUCACCAAUCCAACAUUAGGUUGCAUUAGGAAGGGCAUCCAGUGUAAAACUCUCUUAGUCUCUGGCUGCAGUAGGUUGAUACUGUGAAUGCACUCUCAUGUACAUACGGUACAGCCUACACAGUACCAUAGUGCAGUCGUUUCCAUUGUCAUUUAACAGCCAUGCCUCUGUAUGUGUUCAGUGACCUUUUCAAACCAAAACAUAACACUGAGAUGAAUGACGGCUGUGAGUUGGCCUCUGGUUGUAGGAGAAUGUUCCUGUGUAAAUGUUUCUGCAAAAUCUGUUUUGGCUAAAGUUAGCUCAGCUGCUGUCAUUUGUCGUUGCGAUGCCUUGCUUCCUCCAUGUACAUGGCCAGAAGGCACCAUGGUGGAAGAGUGGUUACUGAGAAGUAAUUAAGAAGAUCACUGGCUGAAACCCCCGGUCUUUCUGUGUGGAGUUUGCUUUCAAUUAGGUUAAGUGGUUUAGACUGUGAUGGCUGUUUGUUCUCUGUAUGUGGCUCUGAGCUGAACUGGUGAACUGGCCUGGUGACUGCUGAUAUGAUGAUGUGGUAGAAGAUGAGGUGAUGAUAGAAGGUUCUUCAAACAGAUCAUGUCUAGGAGCUGUGACCUUUUUUUCAAGUCCUUGCUAUUUAUAUUGUUAAAACAUGGUCUUUUUGGUGUACAGUGUACCUGCUUUAUGUUCUUCUUUUGCUCCUUUUUUGCUUUACAAAUGUGGAUUUGAAAUUGAGAUAAGCGCAUUUGCAAACGACCGCUGGCAGCUUUGUUUACCCAGACGAGAUCGUACACAGCAUACUAUUGGCUAAUACAAUGCAUACAUGGUGUAUUAUUGGCUAAUUGAACAUGCUCUUCUGUUGCUCACGCUGAUUGGCUCAUGCAUCGUAGCAUCUCUCAGCAUCUCCCGACCACUCUCUCGUUCACUUCGCUCUGUGUCGCCAUUAUACAACUCUACCGUCCAUAUAAUUGUGUGGGAAAGGGUAAUACAGUCUAGGGAGGGUUGAUAACAGUGUGGGGGAGGUUCGUAAAGGGUAAAUAUAUACAUCAAUAAUAUAAUAACUAUCUCGCCUCUGCUUGGGUGCUAAGCUGCCACCCCUGCUCACUUUGGUGAUGGGUUAAAAGCAGAGGUGAAAUUUCGUCGUGUGCUGUGUCACAAUGACAAAUAAUUCACUUUCAUUUUUUCCAUAAUAGCAAGAUAGAGAGAGAGAGAGUUAUUUUUGUAUGGAUAGAUUGAUUUUUAAUGCAAACUGGGUCAAGACGGUUUUAGUUUUAGAGAGGUUUGAGAAACACCACUCCACACAUCAUACUGUUUUCCCAGUAAGCAUACAGUAAGACAUUCACUGAAAUCUUAGCUGUGUUUUCUUUAAAAGGUCAUUCUUUUGGUGCGCGCUCCAGGCUGCACCUGCUCGUGGUGACGAGGGCGUAAAAAAUCCAGCCAGACACCUGAGCAGACGACGGACAAAUCCACAUCCUCCAGCGCUGAUCCAGUUUGGAUGAGUGGCCCAGGAAAAGCUGCUCCCAAAAGAAUUCAGCUAAGUCUUCACUUGUUUUUUUGUUCUCAGACAGAGCAAGACCAAAAGUGGCUGAAGUAGAACGGCGGAAAAAUAGACUCCGAAUUGUUUA